GGGGGCGUAGCUAAGAUGGUAGAGCGCUCGCUUGGAAUGCGAGAGGUACGGUUAUCGUACCCCGCGCCUCCA
This 72-nucleotide transfer RNA is filed under the name Trichonephila inaurata madagascariensis. It matches the Rfam family "tRNA". From Rfam's summary of the family: Transfer RNA (tRNA) molecules are approximately 80 nucleotides in length. Their secondary structure includes four short double-helical elements and three loops (D, anti-codon, and T loops). Further hydrogen bonds mediate the characteristic L-shaped molecular structure. tRNAs have two regions of fundamental functional importance: the anti-codon, which is responsible for specific mRNA codon recognition, and the 3' end, to which the tRNAs corresponding amino acid is attached (by aminoacyl-tRNA synthetases). tRNAs cope with the degeneracy of the genetic code in two manners: having more than one tRNA (with a specific anti-codon) for a particular amino acid; and 'wobble' base-pairing, i.e. permitting non-standard base-pairing at the 3rd anti-codon position. Lineage: Eukaryota; Metazoa; Arthropoda; Arachnida; Araneae; Nephilidae. The record is from Rfam by way of RNAcentral.